GUUUGAUUUUACGACUUGGGGCACCUAGAUGUCUUGGGCUUGUUGUGCAUUACCCGUCACGCUACUGUGUCUAUUCAAUAAUAUAAACAAUGAUAUAUGUAUAAAAAAUUAAAAUGUAUGUAAUACACAUUGGUUUUAGUAUUGGUGUCAACUUUUACCCUGCAUGAGUAAAAUUGUGGGGGUUGUCAUAGGUUUAGGAUAUGUGUAAUAAAAUGAACACGAGUAAAUUUGGAUUAAAGAAUUAAGAAAAAGUUCAAUUAUAAUUUUUUUUCUUUUAGAAUUUUGAUUCGUUAAAUGUGCGUACAAAUCAUUAUACUCCAUUGUCANUGGCUAUUCAAUAAUAUAAACAAUGAUAUAUGUAUAAAAAAUUAAAAUGUAUGUAAUACACAUUGGUUUUAGUAUUGGAGUCAACUUUUACCCUGCAUAAGUAAAAUUGUGGGGGUUGUCAUAGGUUUAGGAUAUGUGUAAUAAAAUGAACACGAGUAAAUUUGGAUUAAAGAAUUAAGAAAAAGUUCAAAAGUACAAAUCAUUAUACUCCAUUGUCAUUUGGAUCAAAUCCACUACAAAGUGAUAUUAAAGAUUACGUUCGAUCAGGAUAUAUUAAUUUGGAUAAACCAUCAAAUCCGAGUUCCCACGAG
This is a non-coding RNA of Cinara cedri, 638 nucleotides long. The record is from the annotation of a GenBank genome assembly. NCBI's taxonomy places the organism in Eukaryota, Metazoa, Arthropoda, Insecta, Hemiptera, Aphididae.